UUGUGGCAAGGCUGAUGAAAACAAAUUAGAUGUGUGAGAGGCGAAUUCCUCUAUGAGCUUAACAUCGAGGCAUAUUUAUAUUCUGACUUGCCUUUA
Molecule: small nucleolar RNA, 96 nt
Filed under: Nicotiana sylvestris (wood tobacco)
Lineage: Eukaryota; Viridiplantae; Streptophyta; Magnoliopsida; Solanales; Solanaceae
Also listed under: 1 other name
Description: Small nucleolar RNA Z266
Rfam family: Small nucleolar RNA Z266
About the family: Z266 is a member of the C/D class of snoRNA which contain the C (UGAUGA) and D (CUGA) box motifs. Most of the members of the box C/D family function in directing site-specific 2'-O-methylation of substrate RNAs.
Source: Rfam by way of RNAcentral